GUAUUUUUAGUGGAGACAGGGUUUCACCGUGUUGGCCAGGGGGGUCUCGAACUCCUGACCUCAGGUGAUCUACCCACCUCGGCCUCUCAAAGUGCUGGGAUGACAGGCAUGAGCCACCGUGCCUGGCCUAAGGACAAACUCUCUUUUUUUUUUUUUGAGACAGAGUUGCUCUGUUACCGAGGCUGGAGUGCAGCGGCGCAAUCUCGGCUUACUGCAACUUCCGCUUCCUGGAUUCAAGCAAUUCUCCUGCCUCAGCCUCCCGAGUAGCUGGGAUUACAGGCAUGUGCCACCAUGUCCGGCUAAUUUUUGUAUUUUUAGUAAAGAUGGGGUUUCACCAUGUUGAUCAGGCUGGUCUCGAACUCCUGACCUCGUGAUCCGCCCGCCUCGGCCUCCCAAAGUGCUGGGAUUACAGGUGUGAGCCACCACGCCUAGCUCCUACGGACAAACUCUUAAUUCAGUCUUGAGGAUUUGGCCCCAGAAAACCUUAAUAGCCCAUCCAGUCUCUGAUCUCUAGCUACAACAUUUUUUGAAACGGAGUCUCGCUCUGUCGCGCAGGCUGGAAGUGAGACUCUGUCUCAAAAAAAAGAAAAAGAAAAACACAUGCAUAUAAUGUAUUUUAUUCAAAUCUUGCCAUAAUUCAAGAGUAUGAAUACAGUCUACCACUCCUAAGCCCAAGAGUAUCUAAAGCAUAUACCAUUUCUAGAACAUCUCACUAAACCAGUACAGUUAAAAUAAAUCCCAGUUACUUGAACUGCCUUUUAAAAUGUUAAGACAUAAAUCUAAAUAUAAUACAAUAUAGCUCUAUUCAACAUAAGUUUUAGAACUUCAUCUAAACUGUUUUUGAUUAAAAUAUCUUUAAACUUUCUUAAAGUGAAAUGAGCAUUAUUUCUAGAAGACGGGUUACUAUUAAAAACACCAGUUAGUUGGCCGGGCGCAGUGGCUCAUGCCUGUAAUCCCAGCACUUUGGGAGGCGGAGGCGGGCAGACCACAAGGUCAGGAGUUCAAGACCAGCCUGACCAACAUGGAGAAAUCCCGUCUCUACUAAAAAUACAAAAAUUAGCCAGGCAUGGUGGCACAUGCCGGUAAUCCCACUCAGGAGGCUGAGGCAGGAGAAUCGCUUGAACCCAGGAGGCAGAGGUUGCAGUGAGCUGAGAUCACGCCACUGCACUCCAGUCUGGUGAAUAGAGCAAGACUCAGUCUCAAAAAAAAGAGCCCAGUUAGUUGUAUCAGUUGUAGGUGGAGUUGGAGAGACAAGUGCAGAUGGAUGUAUAGAACACCUCACAGAACAGGGAAUACUGAAACUUUCUUCUACUUUAAAAAGUCCCCUGUUUCAAUCUGCUUUCCAGUCCUUUUGAUUUUUGCUCACAAACUGGGGGAAAACACCACUCCUUCUGAUGCAUGGCUAUCUUCCUGAAAAAUUAAUUUGAUGAGGUUGUGCAACCAGAGGCUGAAGUGAAGUUACAAAGGUUACACGCUG
RNAcentral lists this long non-coding RNA (1477 nucleotides) under Homo sapiens (human). Its description in RNAcentral is "HSALNT0212105". The record is from RNAcentral. Lineage: Eukaryota; Metazoa; Chordata; Mammalia; Primates; Hominidae.